Molecule: ribosomal RNA, 376 nt
Filed under: uncultured bacterium
Lineage: Bacteria
Description: bacterial SSU rRNA
Rfam family: Bacterial small subunit ribosomal RNA
Source: RNAcentral
UAAUACAGAGGUCUCGAGCGUUGUUCGGAUUCAUUGGGCGUAAAGGGCGCGUAGGCGGCGGGGUAAGUCUGGUGUGAAAUCUCGGAGCUCAACUCCGAAAUUGCACUGGAUACUGCUCUGCUAGAGGGCUGGAGAGGAGAUCGGAAUUCACGGUGUAGCAGUGAAAUGCGUAGAUAUCGUGAGGAAGACCAGUGGCGAAGGCGGAUCUCUGGACAGCUCCUGACGCUGAGGCGCGAAGGCUAGGGGAGCAAACGGGAUUAGAUACCCCGGUAGUCCUAGCAGUAAACGGUGCACGUUUGGUGUGCGCGGAUUCGACCCCGUGCGUGCCGGAGCUAACGCGUUAAACGUGCCGCCUGAGGAGUACGGUCGCAAGAUU